Molecule: ribosomal RNA, 511 nt
Filed under: uncultured bacterium
Lineage: Bacteria
Description: partial 16S ribosomal RNA
Rfam family: Bacterial small subunit ribosomal RNA
Source: RNAcentral
UGGGGAAUUUUGGACAAUGGGGGCAACCCUGAUCCAGCAAUGCCGCGUGUGUGAAGAAGGCCUUCGGGUUGUAAAGCACUUUUGUCCGGAAAGAAAACGUCGUGGUUAAUACCCGUGGCGGCUGACGGUACCGGAAGAAUAAGCACCGGCUAACUACGUGCCAGCAGCCGCGGUAAUACGUAGGGUGCAAGCGUUAAUCGGAAUUACUGGGCGUAAAGCGUGCGCAGGCGGUCCGCUAAGACAGAUGUGAAAUCCCCGGGCUUAACCUGGGAACUGCAUUUGUGACUGGGCGGGCUAGAGUAUGGCAGAGGGGGGUAGAAUUCCACGUGUAGCAGUGAAAUGCGUAGAGAUGUGGAGGAAUACCGAUGGCGAAGGCAGCCCCCUGGGCCAAUGCUGACGCUCAUGCACGAAAGCGUGGGGGAGCAAACAGGAUUCAGAUACCCUGGGUAGUCCACGCCCUAAACGAUGUCAACUAGUUGUUGGGGAUUCAUUUCCUUAGUAACGUAGCUAA